Long non-coding RNA from Vicia villosa (hairy vetch), 2006 nucleotides. RefSeq lists it as uncharacterized. Lineage: Eukaryota; Viridiplantae; Streptophyta; Magnoliopsida; Fabales; Fabaceae. The transcript is spliced from 4 exons. The record is from RefSeq and is a predicted model, not a curated record.
CACGCUUGAAAACCUGUGUUCUUAAAGAUAUCAACAACCGAAUCCAUCCCUUCCACUUCCAAUCAUCCUCGGGUCCUCCAUAAAUCAAUGCUUUCUCUUUUCCAAUUCUUGAUUCUUCAAAUUUUUUAUGUUUUCAAAUGCAUCGGUAAAUUGACUCACUACAUCUGACAUCAAUUGGGAAGCUUUCCAGUGUACUUUUAUAGUCUAUAAAUAUUGGGAGCAUCACAAUUCAUUCUCCAACAAAAACCCUAACCAUAGAAACUGCGACGGCGCUAUAAAAACCGUCGUUUUCUCCGAUCAAAUCACAACGACUCAUCCUUUCCGUUCUCCUUCUCUCAAGCUCAAGAGCGGCGGCGACUCUCUUCAUCUUCUCUGGCGAUCUCAACCUCUUCUUCAUCUUCUCUCCUUCCGAUUCGCUAACGGUGGCGGCAGUGAUGAUUCACGAUUUGGGAACUGAUGAUGACGUUGCUUGCAUUUUUGAGGACUGAUUAUGAUGUUGCUUGCGUUUUUUAGAACUGAUGAUUCACAUUGUUGAUGUUGAACGGUCCGGUCGUUCGUUGAGAUAUGUAGAAAUGGUGGAGCUGGUUUACAUGUUGGACAUCCGCUUGGAUACACUGCCACUGAUAUUUUAGCUAGGUUUAAACGAAUGCAAGGAUAUACUGUCUUGCAUUUAAUGGGGUGGGAUGCUUUUGGAUUACCUGCAGAUAUGCAAUUGAGAGAGGAACUCACCCGAAGCUCACCAUAGUGACGAAUUUUAAUCAUUUAACUCUCAGGUUAACUGAUGACAAGUUAGUUUUACUCUAAGGAAGAUCUUUUAUUUAGUUAUUGAUUUAAAUGAUUAGAAGUAUCCUAGAAUUAUUAAAAUUUGCUGCUGCUGUUGUGCCAGGAAUGAACUUAUGUGGCAAAUUUUGGUCCAUAUAAAGAUCACUAUUCUUUAGAAAAUUUUGUGAAGUUGUAGUCGUGAAUAUUUAAGUAGUUUGUUAAGUCUCACUGUCCCUCUAUCAACUAGAACCUAUUCAGAAAGAAAACUUUUUUUGUUAUAAAAUAGGUUCUAAUUUGAUGCUGGGAUUGAGAACUUUUACCUCUAAACAUGAAUUUUAACAUCUAUUUUACCGUUGAUGAUGGUGGUUUCUCAACUUUCUACUGAUGUUCAAGAUAUGUCUCAGACUCAACAGGUGAAAAGGAAGAAAUUUUUUGUUAAAAGAUGGAGAGAGGAAUGGAAAUACACUUACAAAUUGGCCUAUGUUGAUGUGAAGGACGGGACACUGAGGAUUUACAUAUCUAUCUGCAAGUAAAUUGGCAAGAAGCAUCGAAGUAGUCCUUACUAGAAUUAAGGAAGUCGUAAUAUGCAUAUGAGUGUGCUUCAGGAACCAUUUGUGCUUCAGGAACCAAAUAAUGGUUUGCUUCAUAAAGAGACUAUUCAUCUUCAUUCAUCCUCCAAAGAUAAAAUUAUGGAGGACAAACCUAUUUAUGUAAAAGCGGGAUCAAUUCUUCAAGCUACACUAAAAAGGAUCCUCAUGAGAUCGAGUUCAUUCAUGCUUUGGUGGUUCAAGUCGCAUUGGUUUUUCAUAUGUUAGUUUUUGUGUUGUCUGCUGCUGUAGAAUUUUUGUGCAUACGCGGUUUCAGAGCGCCUGAAGCAGUCAUCUUUCAUUCGUCUCAUCCAGCCGUGGAGUUCAAAAUUUCAUCUGUCAUGUAAGCUUGUGCUUCCUACAACAUUCAGCUAUGGUAGUUUUAAGGAGCUGCGAGGUCUGACUAUUGUCAACAUUAUCAAUCAGUUUCGACUGUUGGUUAGGGGUUUGGGGGAGUUUUCAAUUGGCAUUUUAAUGUAUUCAUGCUUUUGUUAUCUUAAAUUUGCUUGUGGUUGGAUCUGGUUCUGGGGUCUAUUGGUUCAUUGCUUGAGGCGUUUCCUAUCAAUUGCUUAGGCGAAGGGGCUCUGUCUAAAGUUACCGGUGUGUUUAGGGAAUUGGUGGAUGUUUGUGGCAAUUUAUUUCAUGGUUAUAGCUAGA